GAGGUGGAAGCUCUCCUUCAAGUGAAGGCAGGACAGAUGCAGUCAGGCAACACCGACGCAUACCAGCUCCUCCUGCUGGACCAGAUCAACUGACCCGGCUCCUCUAGUGAGACCAGACCAGCAGACCCAGCACCUCUAGUGAGACCAUACCAGCGGGCCUAGCACCUCUAGUAAGACCAAUCACCGGAUCCAGAACCUGUAGCCAGACCAAUCCAACGGACACAGCACCGCUAGUGAGACCAAACCAACGGGUCCAGCAGCUACAAGCUAAUCAUCCAAACUGUAGUGAGUGGUGUGGGAAGAUGUCACAGCGGUACACGUCACAACAGUAAAGGUCUGAAAGGAAGACGUGACAGUAGUAGAAGCCAUAACGGAAGAUGUCACAAGGGAAGAUGAGGUCGUGGGAUGACGUGCCGGAGGAGUCCUGGACACCGGCACCCAUCUACACAUACAUUAGACCCUUCACCGUGUUAUCCUGCAUCCUGGGGCUCCUUCCUUUGCCCUCCACCUACAGCAGGGGUGGUCCUGGACCCUUCAAGCGGUGUUCAUGGGUACACCUGUACACCGUGGUUGUUCACCUGUUCUUCGGUACAAGCCUUU
Non-coding RNA from Cherax quadricarinatus, 600 nucleotides. Lineage: Eukaryota; Metazoa; Arthropoda; Malacostraca; Decapoda; Parastacidae. The record is from RefSeq and is a predicted model, not a curated record.